This 253-nucleotide ribosomal RNA is filed under the name uncultured bacterium. Its description in RNAcentral is "partial 16S ribosomal RNA". It matches the Rfam family "Bacterial small subunit ribosomal RNA", at positions 524 to 776 of the family's 1533-position model. The record is from RNAcentral.
UACGUAGGGGGCGAGCGUUGUCCGGAAUUAUUGGGCGUAAAGCGCACGUAGGCGGUCCUGUAAGUCGGAUGUGAAAGCCCUGGGCUUAACCUAGGAAGUGCAUUCGAAACUGCUGGGCUUGAGUUCUGGAGAGGAAGGCGGAAUUCUCGGUGUAGAGGUGAAAUUCGUAGAUAUCGAGAGGAACACCGGUGGCGAAGGCGGCCUUCUGGACAGUGACUGACGCUGAGACGCGAAAGCGUGGGGAGCAAACAGG